This 119-nucleotide ribosomal RNA is filed under the name Pteropus alecto (black flying fox). The record is from RNAcentral. Lineage: Eukaryota; Metazoa; Chordata; Mammalia; Chiroptera; Pteropodidae.
GUCUACGGCCAUGCCACUCUGAACAAGCCUGAUUCCAACUGACCUCAGAAGCUAAGCAGGAUCGGGCCUGGUUAGUACCUGGAUGGGAGAUCACCUAGGAAGAUCAGGUGCUGUAGGCG